RNAcentral lists this transfer RNA (59 nucleotides) under Canis lupus familiaris (dog). The record is from Rfam by way of RNAcentral. Lineage: Eukaryota; Metazoa; Chordata; Mammalia; Carnivora; Canidae. RNAcentral also lists the same sequence under 1 other name.
ACCUGGGUAGCUUAGUUGGUUAAGCUUCUGACUUUGGCUCAGGUCACGAUCCCCGGGUC